UUUGUGUCUGUAUAGGUGCAGGUGUGUCUGUGUAGUAAGGAGCUUGCUUCCCAAACACAUGGUUCUGGGUUCAGCCCUACUGCAUGGCACCUAAGA
This is a long non-coding RNA of Octopus sinensis (East Asian common octopus), 96 nucleotides long. RefSeq lists it as uncharacterized. NCBI's taxonomy places the organism in Eukaryota, Metazoa, Mollusca, Cephalopoda, Octopoda, Octopodidae. The transcript has 3 exons. The record is from RefSeq and is a predicted model, not a curated record.